GAUAGCUACGCAGCUAUACUGCAGUCGAACGGUGUCUUCGGACAUAGUGGCGCACGGGUGCGUAACACGUAUGCAACCUACCUUACAUUGGGGGAUAGCCUUUCGAAAGGGAGAUUAAUACCGGGAUAAGACAGUAGCUGGGCAUCCAGCAGCUGUUAAAGAUUUAUCGAUGUAAGCUGGGCAUGCGUCCAAUUAGCUAGUUGGUGAGGUAAUGGCUCACCAAGGCAAUGAUUGGUAGGGAACUGAGAGGUCAAUCCCCCACACUGGCACUGAGAUACGGGCCAGACUCCUACGGGAGGCAGCAGUAGGGAAUAUUGGGCAAUGGACGCAAGUCUGACCCAGCCAUGCCGCGUGCAGGAUGAAGGCGUUAUGCGUUGUAAACUGCUUUUAUACAGGAAGAAACGACUCUUGCGAGAGGCAUUGACGGUACUGUAUGAAUAAGCACCGGGCUAACUCCGUGCCAGCAGCCGCGGUAAUACGGAGGGUGCAAGCGUUGUCCGGAUUUAUUGGGUUUAAAGGGUGCGCAGGUGGUUUAUUAAGUCAGUGGUGAAAGACGGUCGCUCAACGAUUGCAGUGCCAUUGAAACUGGUAGACUUGAGUAAAGUAGAGGUGGGCGGAAUUGAUAGUGUAGCGGUGAAAUGCAUAGAUAUUAUCAAGAACUCCAAUUGCGUAGGCAGCUCACUU
This 684-nucleotide ribosomal RNA is filed under the name uncultured Flexibacteraceae bacterium. RNAcentral's name for it is "bacterial SSU rRNA". It matches the Rfam family "Bacterial small subunit ribosomal RNA", at positions 35 to 731 of the family's 1533-position model. Lineage: Bacteria; Pseudomonadati; Bacteroidota; Cytophagia; Cytophagales; Cytophagaceae. The record is from RNAcentral.